This is a long non-coding RNA of Zingiber officinale, 774 nucleotides long. RefSeq lists it as uncharacterized. The transcript is spliced from 2 exons. NCBI's taxonomy places the organism in Eukaryota, Viridiplantae, Streptophyta, Magnoliopsida, Zingiberales, Zingiberaceae. The record is from RefSeq and is a predicted model, not a curated record.
UGGCAUUCCACCAGAUAUGUAGGGGACCAAAUUAAAUUAAGGAGAUGGAUUGCAUCAUCAUUUAAGCCUGCUACAGAUUGGAGCAAAACCCUAACUAACAUCCACCAAACCAGCCAGAAUAUUGGAUCUUUUCUCCUAAUCAAUUCGAAGAGUUGCUACCUCUCUCCUAAGAAGUAGUAGAGGGGUCUCUCAUCAGGGGGCGGCGGCACCGGAACCAUCGCCGGAGCUGCCGCAGCUGAGAGCGGCGGAAGCAGAGGCAGGGAAGGAGGCGGGCGGGUGGCGCUUGCGUUUCUUUCUCUCGUAGGGGAUGCCGCGGGCCUUGGCCUGGCUCUCGCGGACGUCGAGGAGGAAGAUGCGGAUGGCGCGGGCGGCGAAGGGGUUGGUCUCCGGUAUGCCGCCGGCCUCCUCGUAGGCGGCGCGGAGGCGGCCGAUGAGGGCGUCGAGGGAGCCCCAGGCCUGGCGGAGCGGGCAGUCGCAGGGCCCCGGGGGGCUCGGUUGGCCGUAGAAGGCGCAGCCCGCGGCGUGCACCUUCGUCUUCCCGAACUGGUCGAGGUACCGCAAGAACUCGAUCACGUGCGCCCCGCUGCACCGCGCCAGCACCAGCGGCGGCGUGUGGUUCCUCAGGUACGUCAGGAACGUGUUCCAGUCCCGCCGCUUCUGCGACUCGUACCGACUCGGCGCCUGCUGCGCCGCCGCCGCCGGAUGACCUCCGGACGACGACGCCGCGCCGUCCUCGUCCGCCGCAGAUUCCAUGAUCCGCUCCGCCCUGCCCCU